This 621-nucleotide long non-coding RNA is filed under the name Carica papaya (papaya). RNAcentral describes it as "long non-coding RNA (CPAP_LNC003983)". The record is from RNAcentral. Lineage: Eukaryota; Viridiplantae; Streptophyta; Magnoliopsida; Brassicales; Caricaceae.
AACCCACGGCGGCGCUGCUGGACUUCGGUGGUGUUUUCUGGCCAAUUGGUCGGUGGUUUGGCUCCGAUUUGGCCACAGGGAGGUUCAGCAUUGAAAGACGAGCCAAGGGGAGAAAUUUUACCUCCUUUGGCAGCCGAAAAGUGCUCUGGUGCGACGGCAGGUGGCGGCAGUCAGUUCCUUCGGUGGCUGGGUUGUCUUCUCCGGCGAGGGUUCUGGCAGGUAGAGUUUGGGGUUGGGUGUGGAUGAGAUUGUUUAUAACCUUCCCUUUUUAAUCUGAACCGUCCAUCACGAUUUAAUCUGGGCCGUUCGAUCGCGAUUAAAUUAGAAAUAAAUCUGGACCGUCCAUCGCGAUACGAUCUGGGUCGUCCGUGCGUGAUCAAAUCUGGGCAGUACGCACGCGUGAGAUUUGGGCCAUCCAUGCGUGCUUUUGAUCUGGGCCGUCUGUGCGCGCGGGAACAGAUCUGGGCCGUCCAAUCACGCGUACGCGGAUCGCCCACAUGUCUCUGUCCCGCGUGGCUUCUCGCGUCAGCGUCCGUGCCACGCGGCGUGUCCUGGUUGGCCGGGGCUGUUGACGUGGCUGCUGACGUAGUGUAAUUUUUCUAAAUUGCGUUUUGAUCUUUG